This 301-nucleotide ribosomal RNA is filed under the name uncultured bacterium. Its description in RNAcentral is "partial 16S ribosomal RNA". It matches the Rfam family "Bacterial small subunit ribosomal RNA", at positions 509 to 807 of the family's 1533-position model. The record is from RNAcentral.
CAGUCGCCGCGGGAACACGUAGGUGGCAAGCGUUGUCCGGAAUUAUUGGGCGUAAAGGGCUCGCAGGCGGUUUCUUAAGUCUGAUGUGAAAGCCCCCGGCUCAACCGGGGAGGGUCAUUGGAAACUGGGAAACUUGAGUGCAGAAGAGGAGAGUGGAAUUCCACGUGUAGCGGUGAAAUGCGUAGAGAUGUGGAGGAACACCAGUGGCGAAGGCGACUCUCUGGUCUGUAACUGACGCUGAGGAGCGAAAGCGUGGGGAGCGAACAGGAUUAGAUACCCGUGUAGUCCCUGUCUCUUAUAC